This is a long non-coding RNA of Heterocephalus glaber (naked mole-rat), 462 nucleotides long. The record is from Ensembl. NCBI's taxonomy places the organism in Eukaryota, Metazoa, Chordata, Mammalia, Rodentia, Bathyergidae.
CUUUGGUGAUUUGGUUUCAAGAUAUGAAGGGGGGGAUGAGAGGAGAUCAACAUUUAGACCCUAACAAAUGGGAAAAGGGAAAAAAUCCCUUUUAAAAAACUAGACAUGCCAGAUGUCGUGAUGCAUCCCUGCAAUUCCAUCAUGCUGGGAGGCAGAAACAGGAGGAUGCUGGAGCCUAGGACAGUCACCCUUCUACAGAGCGGGUGCCUCCUGCCAUUUCCCACUCUUCGGAGCCACCCUGCUGCUUUCCCUGUUGUUUGUCUUCUCAGAAUUAGUCCAUGGGUGAAAUAAUUGUGUAACCAGGUCUCUACAAAGAUCAGAAAAUGACCGACUCAAUAGGGGCUUGCAUUUCAAGAAAAGUGGGAGAAAACACAUUUCUUAGUGGGUGUGAAGCUGCAUAUUUAAUGUGUGAAUAAAAUGUCCCAAGAAUACAGUCUGGCCCGCUGCAGUCAUUUUCGUCAC